RNAcentral lists this ribosomal RNA (492 nucleotides) under uncultured bacterium. Its description in RNAcentral is "partial 16S ribosomal RNA". It matches the Rfam family "Bacterial small subunit ribosomal RNA", at positions 29 to 507 of the family's 1533-position model. The record is from RNAcentral.
AGUGAACGCUGGCGGUAGGCCUAACACAUGCAAGUCGAACGGCAGCACGGUAAGAGCUUGCUCUUACGGGUGGCGAGUGGCGGACGGGUGAGGAAUACAUCGGAAUCUACUUUUUCGUGGGGGAUAACGUAGGGAAACUUACGCUAAUACCGCAUACGACCUACGGGUGAAAGCAGGGGAUCUUCGGACCUUGCGCGAUUGAAUGAGCCGAUGUCGGAUUAGCUAGUUGGCGGGGUAAAGGCCCACCAAGGCGACGAUCCGUAGCUGGUCUGAGAGGAUGAUCAGCCACACUGGAACUGAGACACGGUCCAGACUCCUACGGGAGGGAGCAGUGGGGAAUAUUGGACAAUGGGCGCAAGCCUGAUCCAGCCAUACCGCGUGGGUGAAGAAGGCCUUCGGGUUGUAAAGCCCUUUUGUUGGGAAAGAAAAGCAGCAGGUUAAUACCCCGCUGUUCUGACGGUACCCAAAGAAUAAGCACCGGCUAACUUCGUG